This is a long non-coding RNA of Ostrea edulis (European flat oyster), 510 nucleotides long. RefSeq lists it as uncharacterized. The record is from RefSeq and is a predicted model, not a curated record. NCBI's taxonomy places the organism in Eukaryota, Metazoa, Mollusca, Bivalvia, Ostreida, Ostreidae. The transcript is spliced from 2 exons.
CCUUUUUACAUUUGUUGGAUGUUUGCAAAUAAAGUUACUACAUUUGCUGACAAGAGAUUACAGGAAGAUGUCGAUGACUAUAUUUGUGAAGAUGUCAACGCAAAAAAAGUCUGAAAAUAUUCCAGUCAAUAAGGGCGACGAGUUCUUGAGGAUAUUCGAAACUCUGGCAGGGAGAGUGGAAAUUGAGUUACAGCAUAUUCGACUCGUGUUUAGCGGGAAAGAAUACAGACAUGAUCAACCAGAGGCAAAAAAAAAGAUAGAGGAAAUUGGCAUUAAAGACCGCUCUACCUUAUUCAUGGUUUCCAGGUUACCAGGAGGACUGUGAUUGAAUAUUGGGCAGUCAUCUUUAUAUGAUUGUCAGAUUCUUUUAAGUGGGCAUGACGUAUGAUAACAAGCUCUAGCAUUUGUACUCAAUGUCUAUGUAAUGCUUCGUUUGUCACAAACGUCAUGCAUUUGAUGUUCAUGUAUUUGUUCGAAAAUAAAAUAAAAUCUACUAUAUACUAUAGACAA